This 445-nucleotide ribosomal RNA is filed under the name uncultured bacterium. RNAcentral describes it as "bacterial SSU rRNA". It matches the Rfam family "Bacterial small subunit ribosomal RNA", at positions 330 to 792 of the family's 1533-position model. The record is from RNAcentral.
UCCAGACUCCUACGGGAGGCAGCAGUGGGGAAUAUUGCACAAUGGGGGGAACCCUGAUGCAGCGACGCCGCGUGGGUGAAGGAGUAUUUCGGUAUGUAAAGCUCUAUCAGCAGGGAAGAAAAUGACGGUACCUGAGUAAGAAGCCCCGGCUAACUACGUGCCAGCAGCCGCGGUAAUACGUAGGGGGCAAGCGUUAUCCGGAUUUACUGGGUGUAAAGGGAGCGUAGACGGUUCUGCAAGCCAGAUGUGAAAGCCCGGGGCUCAACCCCGGGACUGCAUUUGGAACUGUAAGGCUAGAGUGUCGGAGAGGCAGGCGGAAUUCCUAGUGUAGCGGUGAAAUGCGUAGAUAUUAGGAGGAACACCAGUGGCGAAGGCGGCUUACUGGACAGUAACUGACGUUGAGGCUCGAAAGCGUGGGGAGCAAACAGGAUUAGAUACCCGAGUA